This is a long non-coding RNA of Colias croceus (clouded yellow), 4473 nucleotides long. RefSeq lists it as uncharacterized. The transcript is spliced from 3 exons. The record is from RefSeq and is a predicted model, not a curated record. NCBI's taxonomy places the organism in Eukaryota, Metazoa, Arthropoda, Insecta, Lepidoptera, Pieridae.
UCCGUUGCUCCAAUGGCGUCAGGUAUAUAAAGCGAUCAUGACGUCAUCCGCGCACAAUAUUGAUUCUCGGCGUGGCGUAGUGCGGACGUUAGUGUAGUGCGGUGCAACCAAGUUCUACAAAAUUCCAUUGGGCGUUGUGCCUAAUCGGAUACAGUCCCAUUGCGUUUCGCGUGGGCCUGCAUCCGAUGGCCGCCAUCUUGGUUGCCGCGGGGGCGUGCUCGGAGCUAACUACGAUGUGGGUUUGUAAAAACGGUAUCAUGCAUUUUAAUUAGUUUUAUUAUGAAUAGUAUAACUUAUUGUUGAAUUGUUAGUAAAUUAUUUCAGUUCGCUAUUUUAAAUGGUCGAUUGGAAUUAAAAAUUUUAUUCAUAUUGAAUAAGAAAAUUGUAACUUAUGUUUAAGUAUGAAAUAAAUGAAUUUUAAAAAUAUGCUCAGAAUUUAAUUUCAAUCUCUCUCUUUGUAUUUAUGAAAUUUCACCCAACAUGUAUUAUUCCAUGAGUCAUCGCCGACCGCGCGGACAACAUGGCGGUCGAGAUCCUGGCGACUAGCUGCGUAGAUUAUAGAAUGCCGAGUUGGAGUUGUGCAUCUCUGCCUUUGCUGCCUUACGAGGCUGCGCAGAACAACCCUGCUUCACACGCUAAUCGAUCUGGUCCGGUACACAGCCCAUAUAGGUAAACGUUAGGUUGCGCAAUAAUAUCCUACCUUGCAUACCCUAAUGUCCCGCAAAGGGCAUUUUGUUUUGUUAUAUUUGGAAGCGCAGAUACGAGUCCGUAUGCUGGCGAAAUCCGAGCUCGCAGUCGCAGCCAGCAACCGGUGAUGCGUAUAGCUUGGGAACGCUGACUAUGAAAUAAGUUAAGUUCCGCUGUAUUUGUAAGAUUUGAAAAAUAGGGUGAGUUCCGAUACUUAUUUCUGACAGAAUACUAGUGCAAGCCUGAAUUUAACUUUUAUCCUUUUGAUUGGGCGUUUUGUGUUUCUUUGACCUUUAAAUCCAAACAGGCAUUUAGCAUCUGCACAUUACUACGAACUAAAACAACAGCGAGAAACUCCAAGGCAUAUCAAAUAAUUGUUCGCUAGCAGGACAAUAUACACGCCGUUAUAAUCAAAACAAUCUGACAUUACAAAGGACCAAGUUAUCUUAGCAAGCAAAAAUGGGCUGAUGUAUCUUUUCACAUGCAAUCAAAUAAAUACAAACCUAUCAUGAAACAAGACCACCUUUAUAACUAAAUAAGUAGUAAACAAAUCGAAACCAAGUAAAUUAAGUAAAGGGACGCCGAGAGACACUUAAUCAUUGCUUGUCUUCUGGGCGUCGUGGUGAUGCAAGAUCAUUGCAAAACACGUUAUUAUGAGCGCAAUGUGGACCUUCAGGAAGAAGGAAACACUGCAGCUAAAAUCGAUGUCACCACGUCCCACUAAGCAGAUGAGUUGAUCUCUCGCAAACGUAGGCACUUUCAUGGACACAUAAAUAUAGUGAGAUUUAUUUAGAGAUCAGAGAUAAAUGAAAACUUAGUACAACUACACAGUAAGAUAGAUGUAGGUAAGUGAAAUAAUUCCGAACUCGGAAUCGUUUUACACUUCUUAAAAAUAACACUGAAUCGAUUUAUUUUUGAUAAAUAUUUACUUGAGUACCUUGCAUAUUUCAAACUUACUCUUUUCAAUAUUUACUUUGUAUUUAUGCCGUAGACACGGCGGUAGGGUUUAACAGUAUGCCAAAGUUUUAUUUCAGGUUCACAUGCAUAACUACUAUUAAAAUAAUUAUGAUGAAUCAUCACACUUCAUUUAUAAAUAAAUAAAUUCAUCAAUCACCAUCUUCAAUCCAAUGGAAAUAGACUAAGCAAUAUUACUUCAGACUUAUUAGGAUAAAAUAUUAGUUGACCAAAUUGAGAAUUGAGACCUCAAAAAUUAUAUAAUAAAGGAAAAUUUACAUACCUAAUCAUUAUCUACCUACACGACAUAACGAAACCUAUGCAAUCAGUUGCCAGAGGAAAUUUUAUUUCAUGUUGCUGUAAGUUGCCGUUUUAAGAAAUUAAAACUGCUGUUGUAAAGUAAAACCUAAUUGAAUGUGGACACAUUGGAUGAGUUAUGCAACUAUGCGCUGCGAGAGCUUGGUUGAAAGUGUAUUCCGUUGUGAACGAUUGCACAAGUACCUAUGUAUGACGUAAUAAUCGAAGCCAAGGUAUGAUAGUAUUAAAAUAAUUUCAUAAGAUUGUGUGAUGCAAUUGAAUGUUUAUACGUGCCAGCUGUAGUAUAUUUUCUGUUAGCUGAAAAAUAUGUACAAAAUAUGUUUUGGUUAUAAACAGUUAAUGCAUGAACAGAUAGGCGAUAUAUUUUCUACUUGCUAUUAGACAAUUCUUUGAAUUUUCUUUCGUAAUAAAAGCUACAUAAAUUGUUUUAAUUAAGCAAUGAUAAUGACAGUUAACUGUCGAUAACUUUAACGGCGAGAAAUCGCCUUGUAUGCACUGCCAUUGUUUAGGCUGCUGAUAAUCCUGAACGUCCGGCAUCCUUGGGUGCUUUGCUGGUUGAGUGAAGGUGGCAGGCUUAUGGAAAAGUUCUGAGAGCACAGCAAAACGUAAAUAGCAAGUGAAAUGAUCUAUUAUUGUACUCGAAGAACAAGUGGAACGGUGUGCGCUGAGUAUGCACGUACGCUCGACGAUUAGAUCAUCCCUUACAGAUGACAUUGGAGUGUAAACUUAGCUGUGCUUCAUUUUUUUUGAUCAUGGUUUGUACUCGCUAAGAUUAGCUGUGCAUUUUGAGUCAUAACAUCUGCGUGCUUUCGACUAACAUAUUGAGUCGUCUUCUAUGUACUUAGGUGCAACAUUAUUUUUAAUCAAGUAUGUAAACAUUUUUAUAUCAAAAGUUAAUAGAUUACAUAUAAUAUGUAUACUCAUAAUUUAGUAUGUAGUGAGUGUAAUUUUAAUUUUUCUGGUUAUUCUACUAGCUGUGUAUUGUGCUCAUUUUUAGGAAGGUUAGGAUAAUUGCAGUUUCUUACAGGCUUUUUAACCUGCAAGUAAAAUUUACGACAUCGUCAGAAAUCGUCCUACUCAUAAAUAGAUACCUACAUAUAAUUUUUCAAAAAUUGCACUUCUGGUAUGUACAAAUACAAAUGUACAAUGUUUGCCAACAUGGUGGUAAACAGGGUGAACUAAUUUAAUAAAAAGCUAUGAGAGGAGAUAUUUAAAGAAAAAGAAAUUAAACAUAAAAGGAAAAUAUAAUCACACACAGCCUAUGGUUAUCAACAUUUAAGAUAUCGAUUUGGGGGAAGGACUUCUCUCUAUAACAUAGGUAUCACGUAAGUAGAAACUAAACAAAACAAUCGUCAAAAUUGAUUUUCGAAAAUAAUCGUCAAAUUUGUCAGAAAAUUUACUAUAAUGAAAAUUCAAAUUCCUAAUGUAAACUCCUGCGUAUCAAACCAAAAUAUAUUGUUUAAAUUUGAAUUUUAUUGUAUUUUACAUUAUGUAGGUAUGUAUCGAGAAUACAAGGAAAUUUCUUUGUGCGAGUCUUAACUCGCACUUAACUAUUUUUUUAUACUAAUCUAGGCGAAGUCUUGAAUUAAUUUCCUCUGCUGGACGUAUUAUUUGUCAAAUAAUAAACCCUACAAAAGCGCACCUACCUACCUACCGAGAAUGCACCACAAAUUUUAAAGCAAUUACGCUAAAUAGUACCUGGUACAAACAUUUCUGAAGGACAUACAGAAUACAUGCAAGUAAAAAUUGUCAUCUUUUUAAAUGGGAUCGACGAAUCAAUUGUUGGCCGUGUGACAGCAUUUCCAAGUAAGUUCUAUAUCCAACUCUGCUAUUCCAACCGCUAGUUUCUUUAUAAGAGCUCUAUCUUUAUUCAGAAUUUAAAAUUACUGAGAUUUUUUGGGAUACUUUAUGAUACGGGGAUCUUAUUUUCAGGAUUGGCCAUUAAAACAAGUAGGUACCUACAUAUCUUAUUCAGGCAUAAUAUUGAUAUCAUAAUAUGAUUAUUGAGAAAACGAUAAACAACACACGAAAUAAAUAGGUACUAAAAUAACUUAAUUCUAGGAAUGAAAUCAUGAUAUUUUAUACUUAUGUAUAAUUAACUACGUUUUGGGAGGAGUCUUGUAACUCUUGUUAUGUGUAUAUGGUGGAAGGUAAAACUAAAUGAACUAGGUACAUAAUCCAUUUAGGCAUUUUAUACUUUUUAAAUUGGUAUACAAUUUAACUACAUAUCGAUAUAUACGUUGGAAUGAUUUUAUAUUGUCAAUAUCUUGAGAACAUUUUUUUUUUUCGUGCGAUCCGUUUCUUUAGGCUUAUUCACAGAAAAGGUGUAGCAGUUAGCGUCGGCUUACAAAAACAUUGAUCUAAUUCGAGGCUUCUUAAACACAACAUGCACAUGCACAUCGGCUUGCGGUCAUCGAGAUCACAAACCAAGUGUGAAGCGGUGUCGUCAUUUGAUGUUUUAAAUUACAAGUAAAUCCAAUUUGAUGGUCUUAUUAUACUCAUCAUUUUCUCUAU